GAUGAACGCUGGCGGCGUGCCUAACACAUGCAAGUCGAGCGGCAGCGCGGUGUGCUUUCACUCUGUCGGCGAGCGGCGGACGGCUGAGUAACGCGUGGAAACGUGCCUCCAUGUUCGUAAUAACUGCCCUAAAGGGUAUCUAAUUCCUCCUAUUAUCUUCCGAUCAAAGGAUUUAUACGCUUUUGGAGCGGGUCGCGUGGGAAUGGGUCGUUGUCGAGGUAAGGGCUCACCAAGCUGACGAUCCGUAGCUGGGCAGAGAGGAAGAUCAGACAGACUGGAAAUGAGACACAGUGGAGAAUACUACGGGAGGGAGCAGUGAGGGAUCUACCAAAAUGGGCGAAAGGAUGAUGGAGCAAAGCCGCGAGAAGGACGAAGGCGGGCGGGUAGUAAACUGCGUUUAUAAGUGAGGAAUAUGACGGUAACUUAUGAAUAAGGAUCGGCUAACUACGUG
RNAcentral lists this ribosomal RNA (451 nucleotides) under uncultured bacterium. Its description in RNAcentral is "partial 16S ribosomal RNA". It matches the Rfam family "Bacterial small subunit ribosomal RNA", at positions 28 to 507 of the family's 1533-position model. The record is from RNAcentral.